GGCAGCACACAUUAAAUCCAUUGAUAAUCACCAUCUUCUAGAAAUAGGGCUAGAAGGAUAUUAUGGCGACUCAAAGAAGCAAUCAAAUCCUGGCAACCUCCUUUUUGGCACUGAUUUGAUCUCCAACAACGAAAUCCCGCAAAUAGAUUUUGCCACCAUUCAUCUCUACCCAGAUCAAUGAUUAAUGCAAUGGCAGGUUGCCAAAUUCAAGUGAAGAAGAGCAAGACUCAUUUGUGGAUAGAUGGAUCCAAGACUCCAGAUCGGUGCUUAGAAAGCCACUCGUUAUAGGAGAGUUUGGCAAGUCUUCAAAGCUCCUCAAAUUUGUUAAUAAAUCUCGAAUACCGAAUAAUUUAUUCAAUGAGUAAUUUUACUUUGAUCAAUGGUUCAAUAAAGUUUGAAACCUUUUACCCAAAUAA
Long non-coding RNA from Populus nigra (black poplar), 416 nucleotides. RefSeq lists it as uncharacterized. The record is from RefSeq and is a predicted model, not a curated record. NCBI's taxonomy places the organism in Eukaryota, Viridiplantae, Streptophyta, Magnoliopsida, Malpighiales, Salicaceae. The transcript has 2 exons.